Stegastes partitus (bicolor damselfish) is the source of this 692-nucleotide long non-coding RNA. RefSeq lists it as uncharacterized. NCBI's taxonomy places the organism in Eukaryota, Metazoa, Chordata, Actinopteri, Pomacentridae. The record is from RefSeq and is a predicted model, not a curated record. The transcript has 2 exons.
GUAAAUUCAUGAAGGAGGCAUGGUCGUAAUUUCUUUGUGUGACCAGAGGAGGGCGCUUUAUGUUAUGCUGACUGGAAGGAAUUUGGGCCUGUGUGCAUUGCAUUUUGGGAAGAAGACAGCUAGAAAUGAAUGGCCGAUGCUUUGUGGAAGGAGUGCACUUUAUUUUUCAUAGUUACAGAACUGUAUGCUUCUGAGUUUCCCAAGGAAGUGCCCACAAGACUGUAGACAGAGCGGAUGUUUUGUUCUUUGUUCAUUAAUGAAGACUCCGAUUGGUUUCUUUUGUCUGCCGAGUGCUGGAUCUGCGUCGAGUUAUCAGCGGUGAUUUCAACCAGGUUUCCCGUCAGAGGCGUGGCGGAGUUGAAGGGGAUGUUAAUCCUCCACUCUCAUCACCUGUUGGAGAAGUGCACAUACCUGGAGAGGAGCCUGAACCGCGCGCAGUAACAGUUCAUUACACACACACUACCCGGGUAGCACACACAUAAACACAAAUUGACUUUGACUGACAUGAAUGCAGAUUCAACUGACUCUAUUGACUUGAUUCACUGAACGUUGAUUCAAGAACAGCUAUAUGCUGUGAGAGGACAAUUUAUGUUAUUGUUGUUUACUAUUUUUUUUCUAUUAUUGAGGAUUUUGAAGCAACAACUGUUUCCAAUUUGUUUUUGAUGUUGGAAUAAAACUACUUGUGUUCACUA